CUUCUCUCGCAUCUUGGCGUCUCUUCUCUCCAACUUUCAUUGCUGAUGUUCUUAGAUGUCAAACAAAGCCUGGAUUAUAACUUUAUGCCUUUAUGGUAAGUUAAGCAACCCUAUGAAUUCAAGACUACAUCAAAGAUGAAAGGAAAUUCAUGUUAUGUUCUUGUGGCUCCUUCCUUGCAGAAUUCUUUUUUUAAUAUUGGUGCACUUAUACAGGUAUGCCUAAUAAAUUUAUAUUUGUUUCUUU
Molecule: long non-coding RNA, 244 nt
Organism: Quercus robur (English oak)
Lineage: Eukaryota; Viridiplantae; Streptophyta; Magnoliopsida; Fagales; Fagaceae
Exons: 3
Source: RefSeq, a predicted model, not a curated record